AACGUGUAUAAGCGCGAAUGACCCCCUUGCGUCGUUCAAUUCGCGCAGAGAGAAGCCGGUGAAAAUCCGGCGCGGUCGCGCCACUGUAUCUGGUUGGCAAAUAGCAGGCUUGUCGAACCAGCAGCCAGACCUCUCUUCGUCUUUCUUCCAAC
RNAcentral lists this non-coding RNA (152 nucleotides) under Caballeronia udeis. The record is from RNAcentral. Lineage: Bacteria; Pseudomonadati; Pseudomonadota; Betaproteobacteria; Burkholderiales; Burkholderiaceae.